AUACUUACCUGGCAGGGGAGUCGCCAUGGUCACAAAGGUGGUUUUCCCAGGACGAGGCUUAUCCAUUGCAUUCGGAUGUGCUCACCCCUGUAAUUUCCCCAAAUGUGGGAAACUCAACUGCAUAAUUUGUGGUAGCGGGAACUGCAUUUGAGCAAGG
Molecule: small nuclear RNA, 157 nt
Organism: Myotis daubentonii (Daubenton's bat)
Lineage: Eukaryota; Metazoa; Chordata; Mammalia; Chiroptera; Vespertilionidae
Product: U1 spliceosomal RNA
Source: RefSeq, a predicted model, not a curated record